RNAcentral lists this ribosomal RNA (443 nucleotides) under uncultured bacterium. Its description in RNAcentral is "partial 16S ribosomal RNA". It matches the Rfam family "Bacterial small subunit ribosomal RNA", at positions 338 to 795 of the family's 1533-position model. The record is from RNAcentral.
CCUACGGGGUGCUGCAGUGGGGAAUAUUGGGCAAUGGGCGCAAGCCUGACCCAGCAACGCCGCGUGAAGGAAGAAGGCUUUCGGGUUGUAAACUUCUUUUGUCAGGGACGAAGCAAGUGACGGUACCUGACGAAUAAGCCACGGCUAACUACGUGCCAGCAGCCGCGGUAAUACGUAGGUGGCAAGCGUUAUCCGGAUUUAAUGGGUGUAAAGGGCGUGUAGGCGGGACUGCAAGUCAGAUGUGAAAACCACGGGAUAAACCUGUGGCCUGCAUUUGACAGUGUAGUUCUUGAGUACUGUAGAGGCAGACGGAAUUCCUAGUGUAGCGGUGAAAUGCGGAGAUAUUAGGAGGAACACCAGUGGCGAAGGCGGUCUGCUGGACAGCAACUGACGCUGAGGCGCGAAAGCGUGGGGAGCAAACAGGAUUAGAUACCCUAGUAGUC